This 510-nucleotide ribosomal RNA is filed under the name Heyndrickxia coagulans. RNAcentral describes it as "bacterial SSU rRNA". The record is from RNAcentral. Lineage: Bacteria; Bacillati; Bacillota; Bacilli; Caryophanales; Bacillaceae.
UAGAUUCGAUCUGGCUCAGAGUUUGAUCCUGGCUCAAGAAUAUCAUUUCCUGGGACAGAGUCCGAUGGCCCCGUAAAACUUGUUGGACCCGCCUGUAUUAUCUGGAUAACGCCGGGAAACCGGGGCUAAUACCGGAUUUUUUUUUCCUCCCCAUGAACGAAAAAGGAACAACAGCUUCUGCUGUCGCUUUCAAAUGGGCCCUCGGCUCUUUAUCUUGUUGGUGGGGUAACGGCUCUACCUGGUUGGUAUGCUAACCCCAUCUGAAAGGGUGAACGGCCACAUUGGGUCUGAGACACAGCCCCCACUCUGACAGGAAGACGCGGUCCGGAAUCCUCCGGAAUGGACCAAUAUCUGAUCUUCCACCAUGGCGUGAAUGCAGAUGGAGCAACGCCCCGUGAUUCUGUAGGGUUUCAGCUCCAGUGCCCUUCUGUUUUUUAAUAGCCUGGAGGAACGCACUCCUCAUGCGCUUACGAGAGUACCGCCCAAAAGUGCCUGAUUUCCUUCGUUCCC